Molecule: ribosomal RNA, 792 nt
Filed under: Triticum aestivum (bread wheat)
Lineage: Eukaryota; Viridiplantae; Streptophyta; Magnoliopsida; Poales; Poaceae
Description: partial small subunit ribosomal RNA
Source: RNAcentral
AUGGCGGCGACGGCGACUGCGACGGCGGCGGCGACGAGCGUGGUGACGGGGACGACGCGGUGGUGCCCGACGCCGGAGCAGCUGAUGAUCCUGGAGGAGAUGUACCGCGGCGGGCUGCGCACCCCCAACGCGUCGCAGAUCCAGCAGAUCACGGCGCACCUGGCCCACUACGGCCGCAUCGAGGGCAAGAACGUCUUCUACUGGUUCCAGAACCACAAGGCCCGGGACCGCCAGAAGCUCCGCCGCAGGCUCUGCAUGAGCCACCACCUCCUCUCCUGCGCGCACUACUACGCCGCCGCCAACGCCGGCCAGUACCACCAGCAGCAGCAGCUCCUCGGCGCCGGCGCGGUGCCUCCUCCGCUGCUGCAGCACCCGCAGCAGCAGCAGUACUACUCCGCCUCUUGCGCCGGUGGCGGCUACGACCAGCACCUGCUCCCGACGACCGUCCCAGCUUCCGCUUACGCUGCUGCUGCUGGGUACGCCUACCCCUUCGCCGGCGUGCCGGCAAGCCGGUGCGCCGAGCCCUCGCCGCCAAACACCCCGCUCUCCUUCCAUCAUCAGGGAGGAGGCGUAGUGGGAUCGCCGGAGUACUCGCUGGGGAGGCUGGGCAACUUCGGCGUGGUGGAGGACACAUGCCGGCCGUCGCGGUACGAGCAGCAGCCGCAGCAGCUGGCCGCGGCGACGGAAGAUCAGGCGGCGCCGGUGACGGCGACGGGGCUGUUCUGCCGGCCGCUGAAGACGCUGGACCUCUUCCCCGGCGCGAUCAAGGAGGAGCAGCGCGACGUCGCCUAG